Molecule: non-coding RNA, 318 nt
Organism: Vicia faba (fava bean)
Lineage: Eukaryota; Viridiplantae; Streptophyta; Magnoliopsida; Fabales; Fabaceae
Source: the annotation of a GenBank genome assembly
GAGAGGGAGGCACCAGAUUGGCUAAGAAACAAAAACAAAAUCCAGAGUGAGAGGAUUUUCGUUCACAACUCACUCCCUUUGCUUCCUCACUUUCGAAUUCAACGCGAACCACCAUCCAAUCUCCUUCCUCUCCUUCCGCUGCCACUAUCCUCCCGUCCCAACGGAACCUCAACGUCAGUAGCGCACCAUCACCACUGUGAACAGCAACACAGACCACUACUUCGCCAUACUCUCUCAUCCCCCACACAGUUCCUUCCGGCCAAUACUCCCUUCCGUCACUUUUUGGGUAAACUUCACAUUUCUUUUAUUUUAAUUUAA